GAUCAACGCUGGCGGCGCACAUAAGACAUGCAAGUUGAACGGACUUAAUCGAAAUAUUUAUCUUUUGAAGCGGUUAGUGGCGGACUGGUGAGUAACGCGUAAGGAACCUGCCUAUUAGAGGGGAAUAACAGUGAGAAAUCAUUGCUAAUACCGCAUAUGCCAUAGAUAUCACAUGAUAACAGUGGGAAAGGAGCAAUCCGCUAAUAGAUGGCCUUGCGUCUGAUUAGAUAGUUGGUGGGGUAACGGCCUACCAAGUCGACGAUCAGUAGCCGGACUGAGAGGUUGAACGGCCACAUUGGGACUGAGAUACGGCCCAGACUCCUACGGGAGGCAGCAGUCGGGAAUAUUGCGCAAUGGAGGAAACUCUGACGCAGUGACGCCGCGUAUAGGAAGAAGGUUUUCGGAUUGUAAACUAUUGUCGUUAGGGAAGAGAAAGGACAGUACCUAAGGAGGAAGCUCCGGCUAACUACG
RNAcentral lists this ribosomal RNA (471 nucleotides) under uncultured bacterium. RNAcentral's name for it is "partial 16S ribosomal RNA". It matches the Rfam family "Bacterial small subunit ribosomal RNA", at positions 28 to 505 of the family's 1533-position model. The record is from RNAcentral.